UCUCUGACCCUUAUCAGCUCCUAUAUCCCGGUGGCUCGCCGCCGCCCGGCUGCCUCACGUUCCGGCCGGCGAGGUUAGCCCAACGCGAUGCCAGUGCGUUCCGGAACCGGGACGCCUCGGGGGCGGGCUCGGCCAGGUCUGUGCCCUCCUCCCGCUGUCCAUCUACACGCUGCAGCAGGAGCAGCAGCAGGGCGCCGCAGGAGAACUACCCGCGCCUCUGGCGAAGCUCCGGGCGGCUAUGAGGAAGCGUUGCGGCCAGAUCCUUACUGCAGAAGGACAUUUCCGCCGAGGUCGACGACGGCGCUGGCCCUCUGAGGCUGCGAAUGGAGAGCGAGAAUCCCGAGAAGGCGAAUGUAGUGGUGGCUGAGCAGGUGGAUGAGUAUGUAGAUAUGGAGGAUGAGACCCCUGACUUACCAAUCAGAGGAGGCCGAGAAUGGUGCUGAGGAUAUGAGUGUCUCUGGUGUUCUUCUUCAUGCUCAGUGAUACUGUCGAAGCGGCUGUUUCUUCUUAUCCUUUUUGAGAAACACCGUUUAUUCUUCAUCCAGUGGUUCAGGGUCAGGGAGCUCAGGGGAGAGCACCUCAGAAGCUGGCAAUGCUCAUUCUCUGGUGUAGAGGAGGUUGUUCUAAUAGUAGGAUUUGACUAGGUGGAGGAUGUAAGUACUUAUUUCUGGGAUGUAAGUACUAGGUGGAGGAUGUAAGUACUUAUUUGACUAGGUAGAGGAGGUCUUUUCAUCUGGCCUUCUAUCUGAAGGUGGCUUUUGUAUUGAUGUGUUUUCUCUAGCACAUCUGUUAUGUACUUAAUGCUUAUGGGCGACGUACCUAUGGCAUCAGAGUAAGAAAAUGUUGAAAUCAUGGUUAUCAUC
This is a long non-coding RNA of Triticum dicoccoides, 863 nucleotides long. RefSeq lists it as uncharacterized. The transcript has 3 exons. NCBI's taxonomy places the organism in Eukaryota, Viridiplantae, Streptophyta, Magnoliopsida, Poales, Poaceae. The record is from RefSeq and is a predicted model, not a curated record.